AAGCCAUGGAAGUUGGUUACACCCCUGAAGUCGGUGCUCUAACCUUUUGGAGGGGGCGACUAAGGUUGGUUUGUGACUGGGACAAAGUCCCACAAGGUAACCACA
RNAcentral lists this ribosomal RNA (105 nucleotides) under uncultured bacterium. Its description in RNAcentral is "partial 16S ribosomal RNA". The record is from RNAcentral.